GUCGACGGAAGGCCUCAGCUUGCUGGGGUACUCGAGUGGCGAACGGGUGAGUAACACGUGGGUGAUCUGCCUUGCACUCUGGGAUAAGCUUGGGAAACUGGGUCUAAUACCGGAUAUGAACUGCCUUUAGUGUGGUGGUUGGAAAGUUUUUUCGGUGCAAGAUGAGCUCGCGGCCUAUCAGCUUGUUGGUGGGGUAAUGGCCUACCAAGGCGUCGACGGGUAGCCGGCCUGAGAGGGUGUACGGCCACAUUGGGACUGAGAUACGGCCCAGACUCCUACGGGAGGCAGCAGUGGGGAAUAUUGCACAAUGGGCGGAAGCCUGAUGCAGCGACGCCGCGUGGGGGAUGACGGCCUUCGGGUUGUAAACUCCUUUCGACAGGGACGAAGCUUUUUGUGACGGUACCUGUAUAAGAAGCACCGGCUAACUACGUGCCAGCAGCCGCGGUAAUACGUAGGGUGCGAGCGUUGUCCGGAAUUACUGGGCGUAAAGAGCUCGUAGGUGGUUUGUCGCGUCGUCUGUGAAAUUCCGGGGCUUAACUUCGGGCGUGCAGGCGAUACGGGCAUAACUUGAGUGCUGUAGGGGAGACUGGAAUUCCUGGUGUAGCGGUGAAAUGCGCAGAUAUCAGGAGGAACACCGAUGGCGAAGGCAGGUCUCUGGGCAGUUACUGACGCUGAGGAGCGAAAGCAUGGGUAGCAAACAGGAUUAGAUACCCUGGUAGUCCAUGCCGUAAACGGUGGGCGCUAGGUGUAGGGGGCUUCCACGUCUUCUGUGCCGUAGCUAACGCAUUAAGCGCCCCGCCUGGGGAGUACGGCCGCAAGGCUAAAACUCAAAGGA
RNAcentral lists this ribosomal RNA (835 nucleotides) under bacterium sp. SRC_MU04. Its description in RNAcentral is "bacterial SSU rRNA". It matches the Rfam family "Bacterial small subunit ribosomal RNA", at positions 61 to 908 of the family's 1533-position model. The record is from RNAcentral.